This 499-nucleotide ribosomal RNA is filed under the name uncultured bacterium. Its description in RNAcentral is "bacterial SSU rRNA". It matches the Rfam family "Bacterial small subunit ribosomal RNA", at positions 791 to 1289 of the family's 1533-position model. The record is from RNAcentral.
UAGUCCACGCCGUAAACUAUGAGAGCUAGCCGUUGGGAAGUUUACUUCUCAGUGGCGCAGCUAACGCAUUAAGCUCUCCGCCUGGGGAGUACGGUCGCAAGAUUAAAACUCAAAUGAAUUGACGGGGGCCCGCACAAGCGGUGGAGCAUGUGGUUUAAUUCGAAGCAACGCGAAGAACCUUACCAGCUCUUGACAUACCUAUCGCAGUCUCCAGAGAUGGAGACCUUCAGUUCGGCUGGAUAGGAUACAGGUGCUGCACGGCUGUCGUCAGCUCGUGUCGUGAGAUGUUGGGUUAAGUCCCGCAACGAGCGCAACCCUCGCCCUUAGUUGCCAGCAUUUAGUUGGGCACUCUAGGGGGACUGCCGGUGAUAAGCCGGAGGAAGGUGGGGACGACGUCAAGUCAUCAUGGCCCUUACGGGCUGGGCUACACACGUGCUACAAUGGCGGUGACAGAGGGCAGCCACUCCGCGAGGAGGAGCUAAUCCCUAAAAACCGUCUC